CUUGCCACUGGGGGUUGUAUCAUUUUGCAUUCCCACCAGCAACAUACCAGACGGCCUGUUUGCCUACACAAUAGCCUCAUCCUUGGACCGUGUUGGCAUAAUUUUGGAUUUUGGCCUAUCUGAUAGGACCCUCUCAUUCAAUCCGGCUCCCCGUCCUUCCGCAGAGGGUGACGAGUCUAUGGCUCCAGCUCUCCUGGUACUUCAGGUGUUGGUCAGGCCCUCCCGGCAUGGACUUCACCCUUCCUGAUUGGGGAGGCUGGCUGGGAUUCCAUGAGCAGGGAGACAGUGGCUAUUUCCAGUCCUAAUUUCAUCCCCUCUCCCACAAUGGCUGUAGGUAUUUCCCUAAUGAGUGACCCAAACAGAAAACACGCCUUGCCAAAGCCAGCAUCCCAUUUUCCUAGAGUGUAGCCUUGCUGAAGGACUUUGACACAGAUUCUUGUAAAAGAGUUAUUCCCAGCCAGGUGUGGUGGCUUGUGUCCAUAAUCCCAGCACUCUGGGAGGCCGAGGAGAGAGAAUCGCUUGAGUCCAGGAGUUUAAUGCCAGCCUGGGCAACAUAGCAAGCCCUUGUCCUUCCUACAAAUAAUUAAAUAAUUAGCCAGGUGUGGUGGCUUGCACCUGUGGUCCCA
RNAcentral lists this long non-coding RNA (626 nucleotides) under Homo sapiens (human). RNAcentral describes it as "HSALNT0126583". The record is from RNAcentral. Lineage: Eukaryota; Metazoa; Chordata; Mammalia; Primates; Hominidae.